CCAGAAUGAGCCCUGGCUGUGACCCAGCUGUCUCUUUUUAAAUUUACUUAUUCUAUCUCAGAUCCCUGGAACUCUCUCCUCUUCCCUGAUUUUUCUUCUGAUUUUUCUGUGUCCUCUCUUCCCUGACCAUCUUUCUGUCCUUUUUCCUUCUCCCUCUCCUCUUCUCUCUUCUUUUGCUGUGUGCUCUUUUCUCUUCCUGGCUGAUACCUUUCACAUGCCAGGCCUCUCUGUCUGGAUAUCCUUCCUUGGAGGAUGGUAAAUAAGUAUCCAGGUGUAUAAAACUGUGAUCGUAUAUACCCUUGUACAACAUGUGCGUAUUCAUUGAUGUCCAAAUGGGCACAGACUCAUAGCAGAUGCAUUCAGAGAAUGCAGACACCCCGGAUAUACUGGGCCUCGUGUACAUUGAGUAUCACUACAGUAGACACCCAGGAUUAUUUAAGAUAUAUAUAUUCAAAACAAAACAUUCAAAGAGACACUCUGUCAUUAGUUUUAUUGUCAAAUAAUAACAAGAAAACAACAGCCACAAGUCUUUAUGGAGCAGCAAUGCCGUAUUAGGCAUCCCUUCCAGGCGUCCAUCUUCCUCCUCCCCCAUGCCUGUUAGGGAGAUGCUCAAGUCCGAUGCUGUGAUAAAAAAAACCUGCACAAACAAACACGUACACAUUUAUUUUGGCCCUAACCUCCCAGCUCACUGUUCCCAGAAUGCACAGAUAAAACUCAAGCAAAACACGAUAGAGACACGAUCAACAUCUGUUUUUAUGAAAGGUAGAGUUCUGUCUUACGGUAGGUAGGAUAAUGUCCCUCCAAAACUGCUAUUCCUGGAUGUAUCUGGCUGUGAGAUCUGUCACCCCACUGGUCAGCAGGGCUGGUUUGGGUGACCUGGCCGGCUAGGCUGAUGUCCCCUUCUCCCCUGACAGCUCCAUGUGCUUCCCUCCCAAAGCUGAGAACCACCACCCCUCAGAGGAGGACGUUUGUUCACUCAGGGGUAUAUGAGUAGCCGAGCUCCCCUGCCAGGACCUCCAAACAAGCUCUCUUGGAAAUGCUAUGUCCUAAUUCCUGUGAACUGGCUAUGUUACCUUACUUGGCAAAGAGGAAUUAAUUUACACAUGCGUUAUGUUUGAUAAUUGGGAGUCUCCUCCAGAGAUCCAGACGAGUUCACUGUAAUCACAUGGGUCCCGAAAAGUGGAAGGCAGAUGCAAAGAGGAGAAGCCAGACAGACAACAGCGGGCGAAGGACUUGGCCUGGCACUGCUGGCUUUGAAGGCUGAGGAAGGGAGCCAUGAGCUGAAACGUGAGUGGCCUCUAGAAGGUCCAAACACCAAGGCAAUCGCUCCUCCAUCAGAGUACUGCAGGGAACAAGUCCUGCAGACUCCCCGAGUUUGCCCAGCAGUGUCCUUUCUAGAUGUGCGAAAUGUAGGGCCACUACAUGAUAAGUGUGUGUUGUUUCGAGCCGUUAAGUUUGUGGGAAUUUGUUAUGGCAACGGUAGGAAGCUCACACUCACGCUGCCUCUCUCCUAGUCCCUGUCCCUCUGGGCCUGUCUGCACUCAUCUGUUUUCCUGCCUCCCGAUUUUUCCUGUUUUCUGGAUCUUACUGCCUUUCUUGGCCUUCUUCUUGGUCCUCUUUUGUCUCUUCUCCUUUGGGCUGCUUCUUUUCUUUAGCUCUAUCCCUACCUUCAAGGCUCUCAGCAAUGAAUUCUUUCUGGAUCUGGGCUGGCAUCUUGGGGAGAUGCCUGUGUCCCCGCAGGGGCCUUACAUGUGCCAUCAUCAAUCCCAGUCCCCUGCUGCAGCUAGACUCCUGAUGCCUAGAUGACACCUCCAACCCAUUAAACCAACCCUCCGGGGAGGGCCCUGGCACGGACAGGUUUGAAAGCCCUGCAGAGAGCCCCAGUGCUUAGCCACACACCGUCUAGUCUGACGGUGGCGACAGUGGACCAGCCCCUCGAGUUUCACUCCUGCAGGUCGAGCUGUGGUGCCUCGUGUUGCCUGCCUUACGUGCCAGGCCUGGCCUCCCUGUGCACCUCUGCACUCACCAUCCCUUCUGGUCUGGCCCCUCUUCCACCCAGGUGUUACAUGGGCCUCUCCAUCCUCCCAGUAGGUUUCAAUCCAAAGGUAACAUUCAGAGAGGAUUUUUGUGGUCAUUGUUUUUGUUUUGUAUUUGAACCUGGGGCCUUGUGGAUGAUGCACUUUACCAAUGAGCCACACCCCAACCCCAGAGAGGCCCUGGCUGCCACUUAGGCUUCAGGUAUCUUCCCUCAAAGGUGCUCACUCUCUCUUUCCUCAGACAUUCGUAUUUGUUGUCUUCAUCUUCAUCACUGUCUGGACUCAUCUAUUCAUCUAUUUAUUGGUUCUGUCCGGCAGACAUCAAGCAAGGCAGAAGCAGGGACCCAGCCUUCUCGUGCGUGGGGGCUUGAGGUGCAGCUGGAAGUGUGCCGGGCACAGUUUCCCCAUCAGCCCUGCGCUGGGCUGGGUUACUCAUCACCAAUUGGCAGAGUGAGAGGAGUACUUGGCUGGUUCUGCUUUGAAAUGCUGGGCAAAGACCUUCUUACCCUUCUUGGUCAGCAGCUCCUCCUCCCUGGCAGAAGAGCUGAGGGAGGGCAGGAAUGAGGGAGAAGGACUUGGACUGGAGCAGCUGAGGCGGCCCUGGGGGAGCACCAGCCCCAUCUUCCAGCACCUAGGAAUCCACUAGUCCAAUCCCCUUCAUUUAAAGGUGAAAAGCGGAAGCCCUGUAUAACAGGAAGAGCCUACCAUGCCUCUUGGAAGCAGUGGCAUUUCAAGGUCCUGCUAAGUGACCAGGCUGCCCAGGCUGGGCCUGAACUUGCAACCCUCCUGCCUCAGCCUCCCAUGGUGCCACCAUGCUCAGCUCAAAGAAUUAUUUUAAGGAUCCAGGAAAUGUAAUUAACUCAAUAAAUAUUUAAUAAGCACCUACAGUGUGCCUGCUAUAGUGUUGGGAUCUGGGAACUCAGCAGAAAACAAAGCAGACAGAAACCUGCCCUCAUGGGGAUUAACAAACAAAUAAGUAAAAUGGGUCAUGGGUACAGAGUAGUAUUCCUUAUUCAAAAUGCUUGGGACUAGAUGUGUUUCAGAGUUAGGAUUUUUUUUUCAGAUUUUGGAACAUUUGCAUAUACAUA
Long non-coding RNA from Heterocephalus glaber (naked mole-rat), 3124 nucleotides. RefSeq lists it as uncharacterized. The record is from RefSeq and is a predicted model, not a curated record. Lineage: Eukaryota; Metazoa; Chordata; Mammalia; Rodentia; Bathyergidae.